GGCUCAGGAUGAACGCUAGCGGCAGGCUUAACACAUGCAAGUCGAGGGGCAGCAUGAUGAAACUUUCGGGUUUCAUUGAUGGCGACCGGCGCAAGGGUGCGUAACGCGUGAGCAACUUGCCCUUAUCAGGGGGAUAACCGGUGGAAACGCCGACUAAUACCCCAUAGUAUCACUUUAAGGCAUCUUUUAGUGAUUAAAGAACUUCGGAAACGGAUAGGCUCGCGUGACAUUAGCUAGACGGCGGGGUAACGGCCCACCGUGGCGACGAUGUCUAGGGGUUCUGAGAGGAAGGUCCCCCACACUGGAACUGAGACACGGUCCAGACUCCUACGGGAGGCAGCAGUGAGGAAUAUUGGUCAAUGGUCUGACGACUGAACCAGCCAUGCCGCGUGAAGGUCACGGCCCUAUGGGUCUUAAACUUCUUUUGCGAGGGAGCAAUAAGGUCUACGUGUAGGCUGAUGAGAGUACCUCGCGAAUAAGCAUCGGCUAACUCCGUG
RNAcentral lists this ribosomal RNA (497 nucleotides) under uncultured bacterium. RNAcentral describes it as "bacterial SSU rRNA". It matches the Rfam family "Bacterial small subunit ribosomal RNA", at positions 21 to 507 of the family's 1533-position model. The record is from RNAcentral.